AACAACUUCAACCCCAACAACAAUCACAAGAAGGGUCACUUGAACGAUGUGACCAAGGAGGAAGCACACAAUGUCCCAGAUAUCGUGCUCGGUACGUUCCCUGUCACCACAAUACCUGCCACGGUUUUGUUUGAUUCUGGAGCUUCUCACUCGUUCAUUUCGAAGAGUUUUGUUUUGCAACAUGGUUUUCCGAUACUUCCUUUGGAAAAGUCCCUGAUCAUCAAGUCCCCCGGGAAUAAGCAGAUCACUCAGAGUUACUGCCAAGGUGUGAUUAUUGAGUUUGAAAGACUAAAGUUUCAGGCGAAUCUCAUCGUGUCGGAAAAUAAAGGAUUGGAUGUUAUCCUAGGAAUGGACUGGUUAACCACCAACAAGGGAUUUAUCGACUGUUUCAAUCGGACUGUGAUUCUUACUCAUCAUCACGGCAAGACAAUAAAGGUUGCGGCUCAAGAGAGACCACGGUCACGGCAACCAAAGUUGAACAAGGUGGACAUUUCAGAAUUGAGAUAA
Molecule: ribosomal RNA, 507 nt
Filed under: Triticum aestivum (bread wheat)
Lineage: Eukaryota; Viridiplantae; Streptophyta; Magnoliopsida; Poales; Poaceae
Description: partial small subunit ribosomal RNA
Source: RNAcentral